CGACACGUAGCUCAACAGCAGAGCACCGGGCUCGGGACCCGGAGGGUGCGGGGGCAGGACCUGCCGUGUCGG
RNAcentral lists this transfer RNA (72 nucleotides) under Streptomyces mesophilus. RNAcentral's name for it is "tRNA-Pro". It matches the Rfam family "tRNA". From Rfam's summary of the family: Transfer RNA (tRNA) molecules are approximately 80 nucleotides in length. Lineage: Bacteria; Bacillati; Actinomycetota; Actinomycetes; Kitasatosporales; Streptomycetaceae. The record is from RNAcentral.